GAAUAUAAAUUUCUGAAGUGGCUUAUGUCAGGAUGAGCUAGAAACUUGAUAUAUUAUUAUUCAUGGGCCGUUUCACAUUUCACCAGUCAAGAAAUCAGGUUACACGGUGUUCUAUUGUGGUACAGGGAUAUUUAUUGCUCAGAUCCCCUACAGGUUUAUGCCGGCGCUACAAGAUUCUCUAUUCCUUUCUCUUUUUAGUACGCAGCCUUUCUAAGUAUAGUGUUAAGUGGCCAUGGGAUCUUCCCCGUGCACGUACAGCGUAGUCGCGCAAAAGAAGGCAAAAAGGGACAAAGAGAACGAGGAAGGGGGAGGAAAAGGAAAAAGAAAUAAGUGAAAACAUGAGACCACUUUAUUUGGUUGGCCUAUAAAUAGCCUGCUGAAUGGCAGCGAGGCAACCCGGGUGCAUUGCAGGAUGAGCAAUCAAUAAGCAGAAAGAUGGAUGGAGGCUCUCUUAACACUCUCCGAGCCCACAGACGACAGCUGAGGGGACUAUUUUUUCCUAUGGCUUACCGAAUAUGGAAAGGGAGGAGAGAGACUCUGCGAGCGACUAACGCGUGUUUCAGAUGCUUAGCUGGCUAUAAAGCUGGAGGGGUCUCUCUUCCCGUGCCGGGAUUGCAGGUCAUGUCAGCCCAGGCUCGCCAGGUCGUCCGCUCUCUCGCUCGCCGGGGCCCCGUGCGGGGAGCCCCCCCCUCCUCCGGCGGUGACCUCCCCAAACACACGAGACCCUCGUAGAGCGAAGGAGCCGCCAGAGGUAUCCGUCUCCAUCACGGGAAUCCCACGCUGCCUCCUCCAUUGCUGGCAAAGCUGCUCUCCCCGGCCGGAAUGCACAUCUUCCCUAAACAGAGCUUUCGCGCAAAAGCAGGUAACAGGGAGAAGAGGAUGAGAUGCAACAUGGAUUGGCAGGAAAAUCAGGAAGAAUCAAAUUUGAUUUUGAUAUUUUUUUUUUUUUUUUUUUACCUAAUCGAGUAGAUUUGAAACUCAGCUUUCUACACCCCACUAUUCAACUGAAAAUAAAACAAAAAGAAAUUAAAUGGGAAAAAAAAUAAUAAAAAAAUGAAGAGAAGAAAACAAACAAACUUCUUUUUCCGUCUCUGGCUCCCCCAGCCUGCAAAAGGGUUUUGAAUUAGCUGUGUGUCAGUGAUCACGCAGGUCAGGGUCGUUCGUCUCCUUUAACAGGUCAUCGGGUCAUUUUGCUCGCAAAGUGAAAAAUGCACUGCACAUUUUUUUUCUUUAUUAUUUUUUACUGCUCGACCCUUUGCCUCUCCGUCAGUUCCAGCAGUUUGUGCGACUUUCCGUGCAGCUUCACCGACGCAGGCCGGCUGCCGGCUGCUGCAUUGCCUGCAUUUUUAUUUUUAAUUUUUUUUUCUUCCUGGAGUGCACCAUUUCCCAUCUCCUUUAUUUCCUCUGGAACUUCCCUCCCUAAAGGUGAAGAAGCUGCAAGUCUGCAUCUCCCCAGCACCUACCCCCCCCCACCCCGCAUCCCCUCACUCACACACACACGCAGGCACACACACACACACACACACACGCUCGCGCGAGCGGCUCCUCGCUCACCCCCGCCGUCAUCUGGAGGAGAGCUGAUUCAGCGAAUCGAACAUGCAGCACGGGCACGAUGGCUGCUGCAGCUGGAACAUGCUGUAGGUCACCGCUACUCCCUCUGAAGCGGCAAGGAGGAGACGAGGGGAGCCGCGCGUGGAUGGUAGCGGGAACAGGGAGGAGGCUGCAAAACCCUUGAACGGUGUGCCGAGAGACAGGCGCAGAGAGGAGGAGGAGAGAGACCGAGGAGGAAGGAGGCGUCUAUCCUGCUCCGGGUCGGGGAGUGGGAUGGAGGUAGCCUGUCCCAGCUAUCACAGUGGUGGAGGACGUCCCAGACAGGAUGCCAGUCCAUGUCAGUGCACAAGCACACAAUCAAAUCAUAUGGGUAAUUUAGCGAUGCAAAUUAGCCUAAAUAUGUGUCCUUUAACAGCAGGAGAUAACAAUGACACUAACGUCACACUCCCAGAGCAGGAGCAAUCUAGCCUUGGAGGUAUAAGGCAAAGGUGCUACCCUUGGAUAUACCACAACCACUGCUAUAUCAUAAGUGUAAUUUUAGGCUCAUUCUACCGAUGUUGCUAUGCUGACGUUAACAGCCAUCUUAAAUAGAUGCUCCCCAGGUUACGAUGAUACGCGUUACGAUAUUUCGGCUUUACGACAGGCAAAUGUUUUUCACUUUCAAUAUAUUACACAAUAAAUUACAUGAGAUAUUCAAAACUUUAUUAUAAAGUAGGUUUUGUGUUAAUGAUUUUGCCUAACUGUAGGUUAAUGUAUGUGUUCCAAGCAUGAUUAGGGUAGGCUAGGCCAGGCUGUGAUGUUGGUUAGGUUAGCUGUACUACCAUAAAAUGCAUUUUUGUCUUCCGAUAUUUUCGCCUUUCGAUAGGUUUAUCAGGACGUAAACCCAUCGUAACCUGGGGAGAGGCUGUAGUUAUGAUCCAAUUAAUGGUAGCAUGUUACAGGAACAGUUCUGAAAUAAGCCUGGAACGUUUAUGCAUACAUACUGUACUGUGCAAAAGUCAUAGCCACCCAAAGAAAAUUUUAAAGCUAUUUAUCCGGGUACUAAGUGUAAUUUUACCAGGAAAGGGCAUAACUUAAAAUUUUAAUAUAUGCUAAUGGACAAGAACACAAUGAAAAAUAACCACGAUUUCUUCUGUUCUCCAGAAAGUUACUGAUAUCUUGCUGGAUAAUUUGAAGAACACCGCUUCAGUUCCCAAACUUCUCCUCAGGGGCAACCCAGCCAUUUCAUGCAUUUGUUAAAUUUCACUACCAGCUCACAUAAUUAAUUAACCUAAUUAGUUAAAUAACUUGCAAUAUCGAUUAGCCAAAAAUGGUGCAGUAGUGCUCGACUUAUCAAAUACAUGGACGUUGCAGCAAAUACUGGGGUGACUUACACAUAAUUUUCUUUGGCAGCCUAAGACUUUUGUACAAAACUCUACAUUCUUUCACACAGGAUUUCUAGAUAGAAGCCAGUUAAGAUAAAUAACACAAACAGAAAGGGAAAAAUUAUGUGCAACUGGACACUGUACUCCCCCCCCCCCCCCGCAAAACAAAAAAAAAACUAUGAUGCUGUGUAAGGGUGGAACAGUUCUUAAUAUAAAAAUUAGAACCAGAGCUGAUGCUCACUCAAGGUCAUAAAGUCAAUUUCAGUUGGAUUAAAGGCAUAAAACACAGCAGACAUAUCACUGAGAUCAGCUUCCUCGAGGGAUGGAUUGAUGAAGGAAUGUGGGGGACCUGGGCUAAACCUGUAUGAACGCUGAGCACACACACAGCUGGAGACUCAAACAAACAACCAUCAGCAAACAUAUCACUGAGAUCAGCUUCCUCGGGGGAUGGAUUGAUGAAGGAGCCCAGAGGAACGGUGCGAAACCUGUAUGAGUGCUGAGCGCACACACAGCUGGGAACUCAAACAAACAACCAUCAGCAGACAUAUCACUGAAAUCAGCUUUCUCAGGGAAUGGAUUGAUGAAGGAGCCCAGAGGAACUGUGUGAAAACUGCAUGAGUGCUGAACACACCCACAACUUGGGACUCGAACACUCAAUCAUUGAGGCAAAGGGCGAAGACACCAGAGUGUCAUCAUGUCAGAGUCAGAAAUAAGCUUCUUCUUCAGAUGUGCUGUAAUUUUGGUUAUUUUCUGUGGUUUGUGCAGUCGUCAAUUAGUCUUACAUUUAAAUAUAUCAGGAAAUUUAAUAAAAUAUAGAAAACAGGCACAAAAUGUUCUGAGGAUGGCAAAGCAAUUCUGUGCAGUGCAGAAAAUAUCAUUAAGGCAGGAAGAACGUACAACAAGAAAUAUUUCGGCUGAAAGGAUAGUCUGACACAGCUUUGAAUCCUCUUAUUCAUCAUAAUUUUAUGCCUCGUGAAAUAAAAAUCAAACGUUAAAAAUAUAAUAAAAUAUUUUAUUGCACUUCAUUCAAUUUUACUUAUUAAAUAUUAAUCCAUUAGUAUUAAAAUUAUAGCUUAAAAGACCUAUCUAGGAUUCUCAUUACUGUAAAUGACAUAUACAAGAUUAAAAAACCACAAGAAAGACUGUUGAACGAAACGGCAAUGAAAAGUUUAUUUUGUCAUAAUUAUGUGUUUCUAUUAAAUCCACUUCAAUUCCAUUUAUUUCAUAUAGCUUUUCUCUCCACUGCAGCUUCGACUAAUCUCAACAAAUCAAAAUUAAAUCAAAUACUGAUGUAUAAUAUUUAAUAUGAUAUAUUUAAUACAGCACAUUCCUACAAGCAAGUACUUUUCAGUACUUCGUUUUUUUAAAGAGUACAAUACUGAACAGGAAAAAUACACUUAAAAAUAUUUUCACGAAAGGUGUUUCUACAGGGCUUGAUGCAGUGGAAGAUACUGGAAAAUUAGGAACUGCCAGCAUGAAAUGUAACAGUGCACUUUAAUCUGCAGGAAACAAUCCAUGAUGAGCAACACAUUUUCCAUCAGGCUAAGCAGGCUCAGUGAGAAGCAGCAGUUUAGCUUGUAAACCAGGGUUGUGUUCAGGGGCGGGGCCACAGGAUCAUUGGCACCAGCUGAAGGCCGAUUGGCUACUAAAGUGCCACCUCCCCUGUCACUCACUGAAUCAAAACAUAUAAUUGGCUAAUGACACGGUUGUCCUCCCUUAAAAAUGUAAAUUACGACCUAUCUUAUGCCCCACACAUUAAAAAUCCUAGAGUCACCCCUGUGGCAAACCCAUUUAAGAAGUAUAAUAGGCCGAGGAUGCCCCAAGACAGGGCAAGGGCGGGUGAUGAACUUAUCCAUUCACUCCUGCACCUUAUUACAGCAACUAUAAAACUGACUUCCAUUUUUCCCUUCGUCCCAGAACACAUACUAAACCUUGAUGCCCUUUCAGAUAUUGCCCUUUCACCCAUUUUAUUUUCCUCUGUGUUUCUGCCAAGUAUUUUGCUGUCAUUCUUCGCCAUUUUGUUAAAGCCUACUCCCCUCCUGGAGCAAAACAAAUCCUCCAGGUUCAGUAUCACGUGAUUUUGUUCAGCACCCGACUCAGUGUGUAUCAGGACACAAUUUAAUUUCUGAACGAAUAACAUCACAACUGAGGGCAGUCCUGCUGUACUAAUGUCUGAAACGGUGCUUCCCUGUUGACCAUUACGUUAUGGUGAAAUGCCCAAUUUAGCCAGCGUGGAACAGAUAAAGGUGCGUCUAGAUGCUGGUGUGAGAUAUAAUACCAUAAACACAGAUGUUUCUCAAAUGGAUUUCAGUAGAUUCAAGAUUUGCAUGAAUAUUUGCAGUGAGCGUUUUUAUUUUGUGUGCUUAAGUGGCAAGAAAUAUAUGACAGCACCCCCCCAAUACUGCCCUUGAAAAUAAUAUGCAGUCGCCGCUGGUGAAAGUACGAGGAAGAGUAACAAUAACCAAGAAAAACUGAAAUAGAGCAAUUAAGCAAUAAGCCAUAAUGUGUUUCUACCUCAAAGCACCCUCGAUGGCCUGGUGAUGACCUAACCCUCAGUACAUGCAUGUUCCCUUAUGCUCUGUGUGUUCAGAGAUGUACAGUGGGUAAGCCCAAUGGCAAUUCCAUUUUCACUUAUGUGGAUCAGCAGGUUAGGACACUUCUCAGGUCAGCAAAUCUAGGGGUCAGCAGAAGGAUUACACCAUUCGGCCUCUGAGCAAGGUCUUUAACCCCCAAUUGCUCCAAUUCUAACCUCCCUUUGGAUAAAAAUGUUUGCUAAAUAAAUUGUUUAAAAAUAAACACAAAGAUCCAGGGUACACAAAGUUUGCUUAAGGAACACGAUUAUCCGCCUAGCUGCUGCUGACUUUUCCACAUCCUUACCAGCUGUAUCUGCUGUCAAGUCAGGCCCGUAAUCCUGCUCCCACAGUUCUUGUUGGGACUAAGUGUUCUAACAUUGAACGAGAUGGGCAACAACUAACAAGCUCCCCUUCUGUGAUAUAUGACUCUAACAAAUCAUCGUAUACCAAAAGCUCAAGUACACCCAAACACACACACACACACACACACACACACACACACACAGAACCUGCCAUUGCAUGCUUCUGCCUUCUAAGUUCAAGUCAAUAUCACACAAGUUAAACACCAAGAAGUCUGUACAUAGCCCUCAGGAUAAGAAUACUCUCUUCCUAAAAGUAGUAACAAUACAGAACAGACAGGGAACAUUAGCAACAUACAUUACCCUGAGUACCUUGUAACUUGGUUCUACAUGACAGCGCCAUCCUCUGGUCCCCUGAGCGAUUGUUCAUGUUCUCUUGAGUUACGUCUGAGCUGUUAGGACAGGGGUGGGCAAUCUUAUCCGCAAAGGGCCAGUGUGUAUACAGGUUUUAGGGAUAACCUUUAGGUCAGCUGUUAAAAUCCAGAAGUAAGAACUCUUCAUCCAAUCAGUCUUCAAAUUAGUAAUCUAAUUAGGGAAUUGCAGUGAAGACCUGCAUACACACCGGCCCUUUACGGAUAAGAUUGCCCACCCCUGUCUUAGGAGGUUAGGAAGCCCCUGCGUUUGUUGCCUGUGCAUGAAAAAGCCUCCAUUUGCUGAUGUGAUGUGUCCCCAGGGGUUAGGGCUUAGGUGAGCCAGUAAACCGGUGAAUGCGAGCAGUUUUACGGGAGUCGCUAAUGAACACUCACAGUUACAUGCCAGUUACGUGGCCAAGAAGUGCCCGACUUUGGAGGAUGGGGAGUAUAAACUUAACACGCUGUGCUCAGUAUCUGCAGUGACGGCAUUACUUAAGCCUAAGCCUGAACGACACUCUGCUGCCUGAGGCUCUGCUCACUGCCGGACUCCUGCCCACCAAUUUCCACACACUCCUCCUCUCUACACUGCUGUGAAGGUGUGUGUACAACCAGCACAAGGUUUUUCCAUCCCCUUAAUGGCCUGCGAUGGCGCUGUUGUUCCUAUGUCACCUUUUCCUACAUUGUGUGCGGCUCUGCAGGUUGGGACUCCGUGCCCGUGAUCAGAAGGUGACAAUCCUAUGGCCAGCAGAGUGAAUUGAGUCCAGACCCUGUUGACCAAUGUGGUACCCUACACAAACACCACCAUCAGUGCCCUCCAUGCACCCAUGCCCCUCAUAGGGGUGGGGACUGCCAGUGAUUCUGCCCCAGAGGGGCAUGGCUUUUCUAAGUUGGCACCUCCUCAGAAGUGCCAACUUUCUAAGUUGGCACCCUUGGUUGACCCUUGACCCCAACUACUGUAAGGGUGCUGGAUGCUGGCUGACCCAAAUUUUGCACUCUCCUGUACAUAUGCAUGCGUGUGCCUCAUGGAGAGCAAGACGGGACAUGCGAAAGCUGCCCCAAUUCCCACCGGGAAUGAAUAAAGUAUCUCUCUUCUUUAUUCCCUCAAAGAUGAGCUUGUCUACAUCGUAAAGGAUCCUUUCAUCCACCUCAGCUCUUUCUGAUUCCUCUUUGUUGGUGUAAUAAAUGACAGGCCCCAGUUGUCAGUCGCUCUUCACUGUGACCCAAAACUCUGAUCUCUGGAAAAGGAGGAAAUCGUCUUCUGUGCCUGGCACAUUAACCUGAACAAUUAUGAGCGCUGCUGGGGUCACUGGAACCACACAGUUAAAAAACUCAUCGGGCACCAUGGCUUCUGAUUUAAAUGAUGGCUUCACAGUUUAAGAGAACGUAUCUGCUGUUUCGUUAUCAGCCCCAGGGACGCAUUCUACAACGAAAUGAAAUUCACAUAACAGGACAGCACACUGUGGCAGCUUCUACUUGCUAUCUUUGAGGUUAUGUUCAGUGGUCAGCCUGAGAGUCUUACAUCUUCACUGCCCAUAACCCUGUCAAAUGCUCCCUCCAUGUCUUGUGUUAUUUUCACGCUGUCUUGCUACAAGAAGAAGAAUGCGAGAAGCUUUUUCCUCCCUCAGGGCAUCCAUCCCCUCAUCAUCAAGCAUCUAUCUGGAGAACAUAUGUGUCCUUGAAGUGUAGGUAAUGGAGUGUCUGCUCUGGUGAGGGCCUUCUUCACUACGCAGAAACCUCCCUCUACUUCUUCUGUCCACUUCUAACAUGCCUCUUUCCAAAAACAGUCGACUCGGGGAUUCUCUGCGAAGGUGUACAUUUGUUAUGAAUGGGCCGUGCCAGUUUCUAGACCCAGAAACGACCGUAUUUCAUAUUCUUUGGUGCUGGAUCGGUUUUAAUCGCUUUUCUGGGCCUCAUUCAGUCCAUAAAAUUUAAUCUCUCCUUGGGAAAACAAAUAUUUGUCAACUCGACUAGUGAGACUGCCUUGCUUUACCCUUCAGGACUAGGCAUUGAUGGAACAGGAGUUCUAUGAAGAAGUCAAUGAUGUUGGAGCAUAUCAGUCAUAAAACGAUGAAUGGAUGAAGUACCCUUGAAGCUAAUUAAUACCACGAUAAAACUAUUUGGUUCCUUCAGUGUCACAAAUGAUGUAUUCUUGUCCCUGACUUGCUCCACCACUGUGAAGGGUUAAUAGGAACUGCAUCCUGCCAGAGCAGGUCUAAGGUUUUUCUGGAAAUUCAGGGGAUCCGUAACAAGAUGCGUGUGCUUGUAUUGUAAAAAUGCUGGUAAAAGCUGUCAAUAUUAAAUCAAGUUGACUUAUUUUCAGUGUAAAAAAAAAUCUGCCUGGGGGAAAAAUGCCAGGGAUCUUGUGCUGGGGGCCGAUGUUGUGAUAUGGGUGCUGUUAGCAGCACUAGCAAACUAGUGGAAAUUGUGUAACAGGAAGAGUGGGAGCAGAGUCACAGAGCAGGGGGAGGACAGUUCACUGACAAUGGGAGAGGAGGGUGUCUGUAAGCAGAGCUAACGAGGCUUUGAGUGACUCAGGUUAUAGGCGUUUGGCUAAACAAGCAGCGUCAUUUUGGAAGAUUCAACGCAGCAUGGAAUCUCUGGGUCCCAGGCAGGCAGGGGCUGAAGGGCCAGAAUUGUGUUCGUUAGGCUAAAAUCUUUUGAUCAUGUGGAAUCUGGUGGUUAGUGGAUGUCACAUUUGAAAAUAAUAAUUAGAACACUGUUGAAGUGUCUACUGUUUUGUAUGUUGGGUGGUAACACUCUGAAAGUCCUUUUCCUUAAUGUCACAACUUAGCAGUACUCGCUCAGUAGCCUCAAGAUUGAAGAAUAGCUCGGAAAUACUAAUGAGCCCACUUUAAAUUCUGUAUAGCGCAGCCAACUAAAUCACAAUGAAUCCAAAUGUAUGUUCGGACAAAACGAUACAAGUAGGUCAAGCUUUGUUUCAGCAACAUGUGAGAUAAAGCAUUAUUAUGGUCAGGGUCAUAUUGCACAAUGACCAUACUCUUCAUGAACAUUUUGUGCAGAAAGAGUUGAAGCAUAAUGACAGUUUGACAGUUAGGGUGACCUGGCCUCACUGACAUAUAUUGUCAUGCAGGUUGACGUUCUUCAAGAACAUCUUUCAACAUUUUUCAAUCUAAAAUACAGUUAAAGUUUGCAGUUGGGUUUUGCAGUUGUUCCCUUGAACUUUUCACCUGUAAUGUCAUAAAAUAAAAUAAAAAUAUUGGAUCUGGUACAGCUA
Molecule: non-coding RNA, 9435 nt
Organism: Paramormyrops kingsleyae
Lineage: Eukaryota; Metazoa; Chordata; Actinopteri; Osteoglossiformes; Mormyridae
Source: RefSeq, a predicted model, not a curated record